CGUGUGAAUGUUUUUACAGAAUUUUGUGACACAAGCUCACAUGAAUAAUCAAUUCCUGUCAUUAUUAUUUUAUAAUUUUGAUAUGUGGAACAUGAAUAUAUGCCUGAGCCUAAAGGACAUUCCCUGGACUCUUUAUUCCAUCAACAUUAGUGCCUGGAACUCACUUCCAUAUGCAGCCUCUCCUCCUGUGUAGCUAACAAUGUCACCUCCAUGGGUAUCUCAGUGAGUAGGUAAACAACCAAAUCUAAAUGCUAUCUUAGCCUUUGAUGAGUCACAGACCCCUUGCAGUGUGUCAUUUGGGGUGGGGGGCAUGUCCUACGAAAAAUCUCAAAUGGUAUUUUAUUAGUUCAUUACCUUUAACCAGGCCAGGUAUGGGGGCAAGGGGGCUUGAUGAAGGGUUGUUGGGCCAAGCCAGGCCAGGGUUGGGCUCUUGUGGGGGCUAAUGCCCCUCAGUGGUGGAGGGGGACCAGGUCUUUGUCCCAGUGGAGGGGAUUACACCGGCGGGGCGGCCCUAACAAUGUCUCCCCUCCUGGGAGGGCUGGGCAAACCUGCUCCCCCCAAUGACGGGUGUGGUCAACUGCUCACUGACUCAGUUAAACACAGUGAGAGAGAGGAGGAGAAGAGAGGGAUAGGAGGAGGAGAUGAAUGGAGGGGAGAGAGAAGAAUGAGCAGCAUGGAGUGAUACUCAACAAGGGUAACAGGGUAACAGAGAAGGAGAAAGUGGAGAGGAGAGGAUGGAGGUUGGAGAAGAAGAGGGUGGAGGUUGGAGGAGGAGAGGGUGGAGGUUGGAGGAGGAGAGGAUGGAGGUUGGAGGGGGAACGAGUUAAGGUUGGAGGAGGAGAGGAUGGGGUAGGAGGAGGAGAGGAUGGAGGUUGGAGGAGGAGAGGAUGGAGGUUGGAGGAGGAGAGGAUUAAGGUAGGAGGAGGAGAGGAUGGAGGUAGGAGGGAGAGCGAGUUAAGGUUGGAGGAGGAGAGGAUGGAGGUUGGAGGAGGAGAGGAUGGAAGUUGGAGGAGGAGAGGAUGGAGGUUGGAGGGAGAGCGAGUUAAGGUUGGAGGAGGAAAGGAUGGAGGUUGGAGGAGGAGAGGAUGGAAGUUGGAGGAGGAGAGGAUGGAGGUUGGAGGAGGAGAGGAUGGAGGUUGGAGGAGGAGAGGAUGGAGGUUGGAGGGAGAGCGAGUUAAGGUUGGAGGAGGAGAGGAUGGAGGUUGGAGGAGGAGAGGAUGGAAGUUGGAGGAGGAGAGGAUGGAGGUUGGAGGAGGAGAGGGUGGAGGUUGGAGGAGGAGAGGAUGGAGGUUGGAGGAGGAGAGGUUGGCGGGAGGAGGAGGAGAGGAUGGAGGUUGGAGGAGGAGAGGAUGGAGGUUGGAGGUUGGAGGAGGAGAGGAUGGAGGUUGGAGGAGGAGAGGAUGGAGGUUGGAGGAGGAGAGGAUGGAGGUUGGAGGAGGAGAGGAUGGAGGUUGGAGGAGGAGAGGAUGGAGGUUGGAGGGAGAGCGAGUUAAGGUUGGAGGAGGAGAGGAUGGCGGUAGGAGGAGGAGAGGAUGGAGGUUGGAGGAGGAGAGGAUGGAGGUAGGAGGAGGAGAGGAUGGAGGUUGGAGGAGGAGAGGAUGGAGGUAGGAGGAGGAGAGGAUGGAGGUUCGAGGAGGAGAGGAUGGAAGUAGGAGGAGGAGAGGAUGGAGAUAGGAGGAGGAGAGGAUGGAGGUAGGAGGGGGAGAGGGUGGAGGUUGGAGGAGGAGAGGAUGGAAGUAGGAGGAGGAGAGGAUGGAGGUAGGAGGAGGAGAGGAUGGAGGUAGGAGGAGGAGAGGGUGGAGGUAGGAGGGGGAGAGGGUGGAGGUUGGAGGAGGAGAGUAUUAAGGUAGGAGGAGGAGAGGAUGGAGGUAGGAGGAAGAGAGGGUGAAAGGAUCAGGUGUGGUAGGAGGAGGAGAGGGUGAAAGGAUCAGGUGUGGUAGGAGGAGGAGAGGAUGAAAGGAUCAGGUGUGGUAGGAGGAGGAGAGGAUGAAAGGAUCAGGUGUGGUAGGAGGAGGAGAGGAUGAAAGGAUCAGGUGUGGUAGGAGGAGGAGAGGAUGAAAGGAUCAGGUGUGGUAGGAGGGAAAGGAGACCAGUGGCUCAAAGAACAAGAAGAUAAAUAAAGGAGUGAAGGAGAAGAGCGGAAUGGUGAGCUAGGUGAGGAUGACUCUGCAGGUACUGGAUGUAAAAUGUGUAAGUCUGAGGCCUUUCCUUAUGUACUUCAAUAUCAAAGUCCUCAUUAUGCCCACGCACACCGCCCAUUCAAAUCCAAUGACAAAUGCACCAGAUAAUUCCAUUAGGGGGGACUUCUAUAGAGGAUAUUUAGGGGACAGUAGAGAAAUCCAGGUAACAUAGCUCAACGCGGGCAAAGACAGAUAUGGCUCCGUAACACUUAUCAGGGAUUUGGCAGCCCUGUUGAUUGAACAUGCCAAGUCCCAUUUGUCGGAGGGGUGUGCACGUUUGUAUCGACACGCUGUAACCUUGUGGCUCCACAGAAGGAGACAUCAGAUGUGCUGCUAGCGGGCACACAGGCAGACAGGCAGGCAAGCAGGAGAGGGUGGGUGGGUUGGUAGGCUCCCCUCCUCUUCCCUUCUCUCUACUUCUCUCUCUCCUACUCUCUUCUCCUCUUCCGGCUGCAGUGGACAGGAGCCCCCCUCCUCCAUCCCCAGUGGACGGGAGCCCCCCUCCUCCCUCCAUCCCCAG
This 2700-nucleotide long non-coding RNA is filed under the name Salmo salar (Atlantic salmon). RNAcentral's name for it is "lncRNA (ENSSSAG00000104316.1)". The record is from RNAcentral. Lineage: Eukaryota; Metazoa; Chordata; Actinopteri; Salmoniformes; Salmonidae.